ACACUCACUUAGCAGAGGAGAGCGACGGAGAGGAGACAGCACUUUGGAGCUGGGAGUUUGAUCUGGAUUUUAGAGUAAAGAGUGAGAUAUUGAAAGAGGAUGGAGAGGGCUGGGGCGUCAACCCAAAAGCCCAGAGCGAUCAGGCAAGGACACAAAUGUCCAAUAUGUGGGCUGGAGUACGCAGACUUAAUGCAGCACCUUAAACUAGGUGAACGUGUGGUCAACAGAACAGAACUGGACCUGCUAUCUAAGCUGGCACACAGACAUUUCACGGCGAGCUUGGAUUGCCCGGUACGUAACUGCAACUCCAGGAAGAUGAACAGGCUGGACAAGCACCUUCUAAAAGUGCACAAACUGGAU
This is a long non-coding RNA of Perca fluviatilis (European perch), 360 nucleotides long. RefSeq lists it as uncharacterized. The transcript is spliced from 3 exons. The record is from RefSeq and is a predicted model, not a curated record. NCBI's taxonomy places the organism in Eukaryota, Metazoa, Chordata, Actinopteri, Perciformes, Percidae.